RNAcentral lists this ribosomal RNA (460 nucleotides) under uncultured bacterium. RNAcentral describes it as "partial 16S ribosomal RNA". It matches the Rfam family "Bacterial small subunit ribosomal RNA", at positions 338 to 795 of the family's 1533-position model. The record is from RNAcentral.
CCUACGGGAGGCAGCAGUGAGGAAUAUUGGUCAAUGGGCGCGAGUCUGAACCAGCCAAGUCGCGUGAAGGAUGACGGCUCUAUGGGUUGUAAACUUCUUUUAUAUGGGGAUAAAACGUUCGACGUGUAGGAUUUUGUAUGUACCAUAUGAAUAAGGAUCGGCUAACUCCGUGCCAGCAGCCGCGGUAAUACGGAGGAUCCGAGCGUUAUCCGGAUUUAUUGGGUUUAAAGGGUGCGUAGGAGGAGUGUUAAGUCAGUUGUGAAAGUUCGCGGCUCAACCGUAGAAUUGCAGUUGAAACUGGUAGGCUUGAGUAUAGUAGAGGCGGGCGGAAUGCAUGGUGUAGCGGUGAAAUGCUUAGAUAUCACGCAGAACCACGAUUGCGAAGGCAGCUUACCAAACUAUAACUGACACUGAGGCACGAAAGCGUGGGGAUCAAACAGGAUUAGAUACCCUUGUAGUC